CCUUCUGUGCAGGAAGGCAGCUGCCGUGUCCUGAGGAUACUCAGGUAGCCUUACAGAGAGGUCCACGUGGUGCGAAUAUCCAGCCUCCAUCCACAUGAGUGGGCCGUCUUGAAAGCAGAUCCUCUAGCCCCAGUCAAGGCUUCAGAUGACUAAAGCCCCACCCACUGCAAUCUCCUGAGAGACAGACCCCUCGCCAGAGCCAUCCGCUGAGCAACUUCCGGAUUCCUAACCCUCAGAUAUAAUGAAAAAUUGGAGGCUUGGAGGUGCAAGAGAAUUUACCAGGAUUAUAAAGCAAAUGAAGAAAUGGAGGCUUGGAGCUGGAAGAGAAUUUACCAGGAUUGUAAGGCAAGUGGCAAAACUAAGAUUGGAACUCAAAUCUCGUAACACUUUUCCCGGAACACACGAAGGCUUGUGGGAUCAAGCUUUUUGUAGCCAUGCUAUGUAAGGUACUUC
This is a long non-coding RNA of Aethalodelphis obliquidens (Pacific white-sided dolphin), 453 nucleotides long. RefSeq lists it as uncharacterized. The transcript is spliced from 3 exons. The record is from RefSeq and is a predicted model, not a curated record. NCBI's taxonomy places the organism in Eukaryota, Metazoa, Chordata, Mammalia, Artiodactyla, Delphinidae.